GUGGCUGUGGCUCAGAGGUAGAGCACUCACCUAGCAUGCGUGAGGCACUGGGUCCAUCCUCAGCACCACA
This 70-nucleotide transfer RNA is filed under the name Marmota monax (woodchuck). RNAcentral's name for it is "tRNA.Ala". Lineage: Eukaryota; Metazoa; Chordata; Mammalia; Rodentia; Sciuridae. The record is from RNAcentral.